GGUUAAGUUAGAAAGGGCGCACGGUGGAUGCCUUGGCACUAGGAGCCGAUGAAGGACGGGACUAACACCGAUAUGCUCCGGGGAGCUGUAAGUAAGCUUUGAUCCGGAGAUUUCCGAAUGGGGGAACCCGCCAUCCGUAAUGGGGUGGCAUCUUUACCUGAAUCCAUAGGGUAUUGAAGGCAGACCCGGGGAACUGAAACAUCUAAGUACCCGGAGGAAGAGAAAGCAAACGCGAUUCCCCAAGUAGCGGCGAGCGAAACGGGACAUAGCCCAAACCGGAAGGCUUGCCUUCCGGGGUUGUAGGACACUCUACAUGGAGUUACAAAGGAACGGGGUAGGCGAAGAGGCCUGGAAAGGCCUGCCGGAGAAGGUAAAAGCCCUGUAGCUGAAACUUCGUUCCCUCCUGAGUGGAUCCUGAGUACGGCCGGACACGUGAAAUCCGGUCGGAAUCCGGGAGGACCAUCUCCCAAGGCUAAAUACUCCCUAGUGACCGAUAGUGAACCAGUACCGUGAGGGAAAGGUGAAAAGCACCCCGGAAGGGGAGUGAAAAAGAUCCUGAAACCGUGUGCCUACAAGUAGUCAGAGCCCGUUCAUGGGUGAUGGCGUGCCUUUUGUAGAAUGAACCGGCGAGUUACGGUCCCAUGCAAGGUUAAGCCGAAAAGGCGGAGCCGCAGCGAAAGCGAGUCUGAAUAGGGCGAAUGAGUAUGUGGCCGUAGACCCGAAACCAGGUGAUCUACCCAUGUCCAGGUUGAAGUCCAGGUAACACUGGAUGGAGGACCGAACCCACGUACGUUGAAAAGUGCGGGGAUGAGGUGUGGGUAGCGGUGAAAUUCCAAUCGAACCUGGAGAUAGCUGGUUCUCUCCGAAAUAGCUUUAGGGCUAGCCUCACGUAGUAAGAGUCUUGGAGGUAGAGCACUGUUUGGACUAGGGGCCCCCAUCGGGUUACCGAAUUCAGACAAACUCCGAAUGCCAAAGACUUAUCCGUGGGAGUCAGACUGCGAGUGAUAAGAUCCGUAGUCAAGAGGGAAACAGCCCAGACCGCCAGCUAAGGUCCCAAAGUAUCCGUUAAGUGGAAAAGGAUGUGGAGUUGCUUAGACAACCAGGAUGUUGGCUUAGAAGCAGCCACCAUUUAAAGAGUGCGUAAUAGCUCACUGGUCGAGUGACUCUGCGCCGAAAAUGUACCGGGGCUAAACGGAUCACCGAAGCUGCGGAUUGACAUCUUCGAUGUCAGUGGUAGGAGAGCGUUCCAAGGGCGUUGAAGCAGGACCGGAAGGACCUGUGGAGCGCUUGGAAGUGAGAAUGCCGGUAUGAGUAGCGAAAGAUGGGUGAGAAUCCCAUCCACCGAAUGCCUAAGGUUUCCUGAGGAAGGCUCGUCCGCUCAGGGUUAGUCGGGACCUAAGCCGAGGCCGAAAGGCGUAGGCGAUGGACAACAGGUUGAUAUUCCUGUACCACCUCUUCAUCGUUUGAGCAAUGGGGGGACGCAGGAGGAUAGGGUAAGCGCACUAUUGGACAUGUGCGUCUAAGCAGUUAGGCCGGGAAGUUGGCAAAUCCGCUUCCCAUAUAAGGCUGAGCUGUGACAGCGAGGGAAAUUUAGUACCGAAGUUCCUGAUUCCACACUGCCAAGAAAAGCCUCUAGCGAGAUGAAAGGUGCCCGUACCGCAAACCGACACAGGUAGGCGAGGAGAGAAUCCUAAGGUGAGCGAGAGAACUCUCGUUAAGGAACUCGGCAAAAUGACCCCGUAACUUCGGGAGAAGGGGUGCUCUUUAGGGUUAAUCGCCCUGAAGAGCCGCAGUGAAUAGGCCCAGGCGACUGUUUAGCAAAAACACAGGUCUCUGCGAAGCCGCAAGGCGAAGUAUAGGGGCUGACGCCUGCCCGGUGCUGGAAGGUUAAGAGGAGGGGUUAGCUCACGCGAAGCUCUGAAUCGAAGCCCCAGUAAACGGCGGCCGUAACUAUAACGGUCCUAAGGUAGCGAAAUUCCUUGUCGGGUAAGUUCCGACCCGCACGAAAGGCGUAACGAUCUGGGCACUGUCUCAACGAGAGACUCGGUGAAAUUAUAGUACCUGUGAAGAUGCAGGUUACCCGCGACAGGACGGAAAGACCCCGUGGAGCUUUACUGCAGCCUGAUAUUGAAUUUUGGUACAGCUUGUACAGGAUAGGUAGGAGCCUUUGAAGCCGGAGCGCCAGCUUCGGUGGAGGCGUCGGUGGGAUACUACCCUGGCUGUAUUGAAAUUCUAACCCGCACCCCUUACCGGGGUGGGAGACAGUGUCAGGCAGGCAGUUUGACUGGGGCGGUCGCCUCCUAAAAUGUAACGGAGGCGCCCAAAGGUUCCCUCAGAAUGGUUGGAAAUCAUUCGCAGAGUGUAAAGGCACAAGGGAGCUUGACUGCGAGACCUACAAGUCGAGCAGGGACGAAAGUCGGGCUUAGUGAUCCGGUGGUUCCGCAUGGAAGGGCCAUCGCUCAACGGAUAAAAGCUACCCCGGGGAUAACAGGCUUAUCUCCCCCAAGAGUCCACAUCGACGGGGAGGUUUGGCACCUCGAUGUCGGCUCAUCGCAUCCUGGGGCUGUAGUCGGUCCCAAGGGUUGGGCUGUUCGCCCAUUAAAGCGGUACGCGAGCUGGGUUCAGAACGUCGUGAGACAGUUCGGUCCCUAUCCGUCGUGGGCGCAGGAAAUUUGAGAGGAGCUGUCCUUAGUACGAGAGGACCGGGAUGGACGCACCGCUGGUGUACCAGUUGUCUUGCCAAAGGCAUCGCUGGGUAGCUAUGUGCGGACGGGAUAAGUGCUGAAAGCAUCUAAGCAUGAAGCCCCCCUCAAGAUGAGAUUUCCCACAGUGUUAAACUGGUAAGAUCCCUGAAAGACGAUCAGGUUGAUAGGUCAGAGGUGGAAGCGCGGCGACGCGUGGAGCUGACUGAUACUAAUAGAUCGAGGACUUAACCAU
This is a ribosomal RNA of Bacillus sp. B-jedd, 2937 nucleotides long. It matches the Rfam family "Bacterial large subunit ribosomal RNA". Lineage: Bacteria; Bacillati; Bacillota; Bacilli; Caryophanales; Bacillaceae. The record is from Rfam.